Molecule: non-coding RNA, 3207 nt
Organism: Elaeis guineensis (African oil palm)
Lineage: Eukaryota; Viridiplantae; Streptophyta; Magnoliopsida; Arecales; Arecaceae
Source: RefSeq, a predicted model, not a curated record
CCCGCCCUCGAUCUCUCGGGUUCCCCUCUCCCACCGCCGCCUCCGCUUCAAAACCCUACUGCCCCUCCUCCCCCUCUUCUGCUCCAAACCUCCUCCUCUCUUCUGCUCGAAAAUCGUAGCUCGAUCCUCUCAGGCGUGCCGAUCUCCCCGGUGUGCCCCUUCCCAUCGUCCUCCGCUCCAAAACCCCCUCCCCUCCUCUGCUCCAAAAUCCUACACUGAUCCAUUUCCCCGACGUGCUCCCCUCCCCCCCUCCUCCACUCCAAAACUCCGAUCGAUCUCCCCGGCGUGCCCCUCCCCCUCCUCCACUCCAAAACCCUCGCGCCUAAGCUUCCCCCCUCCCACCGAUCUCCCCGGCGUGCCCCUCCCGCGGCGUGCCCCCUGAUCUCUCUGGCAUGCCCCUCCCCGCGACGUUUCCCCCGUUCUCCCCGGCGUGCCACCCUCCCCCGAUCUCCCCGGCGUGCCCCAGCCCGAUGGCGGUUUGGCCUCCCCUCCUUGACGCAGAAGACAUCAGGAUCCGUCGGACUCCUCCAUCAUCGGUCAGGCAAAGAUGAAGGACAUGAUAAAUGUCAAAUAUGUCAGAGUUCUAGAUACAAGCAAUUUACAGAAGAUUCAAAUGAUGAAACUACUAAGAAUAGUCAGAUUACUGCAAAACAAGUACGGUACUUUUCAUUGAAGUCGAGGUUGCAGAAAUUCUUUAUGUCAUCAAAAACUGCAGAGUUAAUAAGAUGGCAUGAGGAGGAACGAACAAAAGAUGCUGUUCAAAGACAUCCUGCAGACUCAAUUGUUUGGAGAACUUUUGAUGAACGGAAUCCAUCCUUCACUGCAGAUUGUCGAAAUAUUAGACUUGGUUUAACAGCUGAUGGAUUUAAUCCAUUUAGAUCAAUAUCUAUAGCUUAUAGCACUUGGCCUGUUGUUCUAAUACCAUAUAAUUUACCAUCGUAGAUGUCUAUGAAGCAACCUUUCUUUAUUCUUUUUAUGCUUAUUGAUGGGCCAAAAGGAUCGGGCAAUAAGAUCGAUGUUUAUUUACAACAUUGAUUGAAGAACUAAAUGAAUUAUGGAAGAAAGGGAUACUUACAUAUGAUGCAUCAAAAAAAGAGAUGUUUCAACUUCAUGCUGCAUUAUUAUAGACAAUCAAUGACUUUUCUGCAUAUGCAAAUUUGUCUGGAUAGAGUACAAAAGAUAAACUUGCCUGUCUUUCUUGUUACAAUCAAAUAGAAUCAACAUGGUUGUCACAUGAUAGAAAAUUUUGUUAUAGAGGGCAUCGACGAUUUUUACCGAAUACCCACAGAUUUUGAAGAGAUAGAAUAUCUUUUAAUGGUCAAGGAGAAUACAGAAGGAAGCCUGUUAAAUUAUCAGGUUCUGAUAUAUUAAAUCAAUUGAAUGGAGUACUCACAGAAUAUAAAAAGGAAGACCUUGUAAAGAAAAAAAUUGAAGAAAAUCAAAAAGACACUUCAGAUGGAAAAAGUCUAGGUGGAAAAAGAAAAGUAUAUUUUUUGAUUUAUCAUAUUGGGAGCAUAAUUUGAUUUAGCAUAAUCUUGAUGUCAUGCACAUUGAGAAGAAUGUAUGUGACAAUAUACUUUGGACAAUAUUGGGGUUUGCAGAAAAAUCCAAGGAUAAUUUAAAUUCUCGAUAUGAUAUGCAAAAAAUGAGUAUAAGAAAAGCAUUACAUCCACAACAAUAAGUGUCUGGUAAGGCUUAUUUACCUCCAGCUUGUUUUAUAAUAUCCAAAGAUGAUAAAGAUAUCUUCGUAAAAAUGCUAAAAAAAUAUUAGAGUCCCCGAUGGUUAUGCAUCUAAUACCAGUUGCUGCAUACAUUUAAAGGAGCAUAGUAUUUGAGGAUUAAAAAGUCAUGACAAUCAUAUUUUGAUGCAACAGCUACUUUCUGUAGCUGUACACAAAGCAUUAUCUAAGGACGUGGUUGAGGCAUUGAUUGAGUUAACAAAUUUCUUUAGGCAAUUAUACUCAAAGGUGAAUAAAAUGACUAACCUAGAGUAUAUUCAAGGUCAUAUUACUUUAACACUUUGCCAUCUUGAGAAGAUCUUUCCAUCUUUAUUUUUUAAUAUAAUAGAGCAUUUACCUAUACAUUUAGCAGAAGAGGUACUCAUUGCUGGAGCAGUGCAAUUUAGGUGGAGGUAUUCUAUUGAAAGAAUGGCUCCAAAGAGGACACGUUGUGUAUCCAUAUUGGAUAUAUUACAUACUUAUCAUCAUCUCAGUCCAAUCAUGAUGAGUCACAGCAAUAAUCACUUUCAGCAUAUAAUACUCAGCCACAUAGACAAUGAUCAGAGACUGCAUUAUCUCAGCCACAGUCAUCAAAUGUUGCAGGAGGAGAUAAAAUGAUGACUUGAGGAAGUAUCUGAGGACGAGCGCACACCAGAACUAAAAGAUCGUAUCUUUGUGGAGGUGAUGGGAGAAGAUGGACAUGGACGGAUGCGUACUUCGAGUUCGAGCAUGAUAAAGCGAUGUUUGCAUCAGCAAUCUUAUCAGGCACCAUCAGAGGAGAUCAUUAGGAGGAUUCGGGAUGAGCUUCGGACGGAGUUUAUUGACAAGAUUUCCUACUUGGAGGCACAGCUCCAUCAGAUGCAUGCUCAGAUGGCGAGUGGAUGUUUUGUGCAUAGCCCAGUAGGUACUCCUCGUUCGGUGCCAUCUAGUAGUGGUUCCAGAUGCAUCUAGUGCUCACCAAACACAUGCAUCGAAAAAUGAGAGAUUCACUCAGGUGCCUGAUGAGGUUGAGGUACAAGUCCAUGAAGAUGAAGCAAGUAAAUUUCAUAUUCUGUUUGGCUUUUUAUUAUAUUUUGGACAAUGGAUAUGUACUUGAAUACUUAUGUUAUGUUUGAACAAAAUCUAGAUAAAUUAAACUAAUAAUCAAGUGGGAAAAACUAUAGCCAAAUGUGGGUCUUCUUAAGGAUAGAGGACUAUGGAGCUGGCUUUGCUGUGGGAGAAUCCCCAUUAUUUGACUCUAUAGUAUUUUAGAUUGAGUUGAGAGUAGCUUACAAAGAUUUGGUAUACAUUAUUUUUUGCUUGCAGACUGAUAGAUUUAUUUUGGAGGAAGAUUUUAAGUCUUGCCCAAGACAAUGAUCGCUGAAUUUGUAAGUGGCUCUAAGCCUGCUAAAACUCAUUUUUCCCUAUUGGCUGAUGCUUGAAGGCUCGUUGUGUGGUGUUUCAAUUGUUUGAUCAGAUAUAUUUAUGAGAAGAAAAAUUGUAAGGCUGA